Molecule: ribosomal RNA, 460 nt
Filed under: uncultured bacterium
Lineage: Bacteria
Description: partial 16S ribosomal RNA
Rfam family: Bacterial small subunit ribosomal RNA
Source: RNAcentral
CCUACGGGCGGCAGCAGUGAGGAAUAUUGGUCAAUGGGCGGGAGCCUGAACCAGCCAAGUCGCGUGAGGGAAGACGGUCCUAUGGAUUGUAAACCUCUUUAGGCGGGGAGCAAUGCCGGGCACGUGUGCCCGGAGGGAGAGUACCCGCAGCAUAAGCAUCGGCUAACUCCGUGCCAGCAGCCGCGGUAAUACGGAGGAUGCGAGCGUUAUCCGGAUUGAUUGGGUUUAAAGGGUGCGUAGGCGGAUUUUUAAGUCAGCGGUAAAAUGUCGGGGCUCAACCCGGGCCGGCCGUUGAAACUGGGGAUCUUGAGUGGGCGAGAAGUAUGCGGAAUGCGUGGUGUAGCGGUGAAAUGCAUAGAUAUCACGCAGAACUCCGAUUGCGAAGGCAGCAUACCGGCGCCCGACUGACGCUGAGGCACGAAAGCGUGGGGAUCGAACAGGAUUAGAUACCCCGGUAGUC